UAAGUAUGAAGCAUUUGGUUAAGAACUGCAAAGAGAUAAUAGAUCUGAACUUGAGUGGCUGUAAAAAUAUAACGGACUAGAGUUUGCAUCUAAUUGCUGAUGAUUAUCAAGAGUUGGAAGUGUUGAAUUUGACAAGGUGCAUCAAGCUAACAGAUGGCGGAUUGCAACAGAUACUUCUCAAGUGUUCUUCCCUCUGAAGCUUGAACCUUUAAUUUAUGCCCUUUCAAG
Long non-coding RNA from Magnolia sinica, 228 nucleotides. RefSeq lists it as uncharacterized. NCBI's taxonomy places the organism in Eukaryota, Viridiplantae, Streptophyta, Magnoliopsida, Magnoliales, Magnoliaceae. The transcript is spliced from 3 exons. The record is from RefSeq and is a predicted model, not a curated record.